GAGUUUGAUCCUGGCUCAGAACGAACGCUGGCGGCAGGCUUAACACAUGCAAGUCGAGCGCCCUAGCAAUAGGGAGCGGCGCACGGGUGCGUAACGCGUGGGAAUAUGCCUCAUGGUACGGAAUAACACAGAGAAAUUUGUGCUAAUACCGUAUGGUUCCUUAGGGAUAAAGAUUUAUCGCCAUGAGAUUAGCCCGCGUAGGAUUAGCUAGUUGGUAGGGUAACGGCCUACCAAGGCGACGAUCCUUAGCUGGUCUGAGAGGAUGAUCAGCCACACUGGAACUGAGACACGGUCCAGACUCCUACGGGAGGCAGCAGUGAGGAAUAUUGCACAAUGGGGGAAACCCUGAUGCAGCCAUGCCGCGUGAGUGAUGAAGGCCUUC
This 382-nucleotide ribosomal RNA is filed under the name uncultured Alphaproteobacteria bacterium. RNAcentral describes it as "bacterial SSU rRNA". It matches the Rfam family "Bacterial small subunit ribosomal RNA", at positions 9 to 419 of the family's 1533-position model. Lineage: Bacteria; Pseudomonadati; Pseudomonadota; Alphaproteobacteria. The record is from RNAcentral.